RNAcentral lists this ribosomal RNA (999 nucleotides) under uncultured bacterium. Its description in RNAcentral is "bacterial SSU rRNA". It matches the Rfam family "Bacterial small subunit ribosomal RNA", at positions 356 to 1376 of the family's 1533-position model. The record is from RNAcentral.
GGGGAAUAUUGCACAAUGGGGGAAACCCUGAUGCAGCGACGCCGCGUGAGCGAAGAAGUAUUUCGGUAUGUAAAGCUCUAUCAGCAGGGAAGAAAAUGACGGUACCUGACUAAGAAGCCCCGGCUAACUACGUGCCAGCAGCCGCGGUAAUACGUAGGGGGCAAGCGUUAUCCGGAUUUACUGGGUGUAAAGGGAGCGUAGACGGCAAGGCAAGUCUGAUGUGAAAGGCUGGGGCUCAACCCCGGGACUGCAUUUGAAACUGUAGAGCUUGAGUGAAGUAGAGGCAGGCGGAAUUCCCCGUGUAGCGGUGAAAUGCGUAGAGAUGGGGAGGAACACCAGUGGCGAAGGCGGCCUGCUGGGCUUUAACUGACGCUGAGGCACGAAAGCGUGGGUAGCAAACAGGAUUAGAUACCCUGGUAGUCCACGCUGUAAACGAUGAUUACUAGGUGUGGGGGGUCUGACCCCUUCCGUGCCGGAGUUAACACGAUAAGUAAUCCACCUGGGGAGUACGGCCGCAAGGUUGAAACUCAAAGGAAUUGACGGGGGCCCGCACAAGCAGUGGAGUAUGUGGUUUAAUUCGAAGCAACGCGAAGAACCUUACCAGGUCUUGACAUCCAACUAACGAAGUAGAGAUACAUUAGGUGCCCUUCGGGGAAAGUUGAGACAGGUGGUGCAUGGUUGUCGUCAGCUCGUGUCGUGAGAUGUUGGGUUAAGUCCCGCAACGAGCGCAACCCUUGCUAUUAGUUGCUACGCAAGAGCACUCUAAUAGGACUGCCGUUGACAAAACGGAGGAAGGUGGGGACGACGUCAAAUCAUCAUGCCCCUUAUGACCUGGGCUACACACGUACUACAAUGGAUGUUAACAGAGGGAAGCAAGACAGCGAUGUGGAGCAAACCCCUAAAAACAUUCUCAGUUCAGAUUGCAGGCUGCAACCCGCCUGCAUGAAGAUGGAAUUGCUAGUAAUCGCGGAUCAGCAUGCCGCGGUGAAUACGUUCCCG